Molecule: non-coding RNA, 447 nt
Organism: Phasianus colchicus (ring-necked pheasant)
Lineage: Eukaryota; Metazoa; Chordata; Aves; Galliformes; Phasianidae
Source: RefSeq, a predicted model, not a curated record
GAUUUGGGGGUGCUGGGUGGGAUGGGACACCGCGGGGAUUUGGGGCCAGGUGUGGGACCCUGCCCUGAGCCCCGCUCUGCCCGCAGGACGGCGGGGGGGAGCUGAUCUUCUACGAGCGUCCUGACACUGCCGGCCCCAAACUGUCCCAGUUCAGCAUCACCCCCACGGCUGACCCAGAUGGGCUGGAGGCGGUGCUGAGGCGGGCGCUGGGGGCGCUGGGCACGGUGAGGAAGCAGAGGUUGCUUUAUAUGGUGGGCCAGACCCGAGUGCAUCUGGACAGCGUGGAGGGUUUGGGAGACUUCCUGGAGCUGGAGGUGGUGCUGAGCGAGGGGCAGAGCCUGGAGCAGGGUGAGCGUUUGGCCCGCGAGCUGAUGGCGAAGUUGGGGGUGAGGGAUGAAGAUCUGGUGAGCGGGGCGUACCUGGACCUGCUGUUGGCCCGGGGGGGGG